UUCGUAGGGUGCAAGCGUUAAUCGGAAUUACUGGGCGUAAAGCGUGCGCAGGCGGUUAUGCAAGACAGAUGUGAAAUCCCCGGGCUCAACCUGGGAACUGCAUUUGUGACUGCAUGGCUAGAGUACGGUAGAGGGGGAUGGAAUUCCGCGUGUAGCAGUGAAAUGCGUAGAUAUGCGGAGGAACACCGAUGGCGAAGGCAAUCCCCUGGACCUGUACUGACGCUCAUGCACGAAAGCGUGGGGAGCAUACAGG
RNAcentral lists this ribosomal RNA (253 nucleotides) under uncultured bacterium. RNAcentral describes it as "partial 16S ribosomal RNA". It matches the Rfam family "Bacterial small subunit ribosomal RNA", at positions 524 to 776 of the family's 1533-position model. The record is from RNAcentral.